AUACGUAGGUGGCAAGCGUUGUCCGGAAUUAUUGGGCGUAAAGCGCGCGCAGGCGGUCUUUUAAGUCUGAUGUGAAAGCCCACGGCUCAACCGUGGAGGGUCAUUGGAAACUGGAAGACUUGAGUGCAGAAGAGGAGAGUGGAAUUCCACGUGUAGCGGUGAAAUGCGUAGAGAUGUGGAGGAACACCAGUGGCGAAGGCGACUCUCUGGUCUGUAACUGACGCUGAGGCGCGAAAGCGUGGGGAGCAAACAGGAUUAGAUACCCUGGUAGUCCACGCCGUAAACGAUGAGUGCUAAGUGUUAGAGGGUUUCCGCCCUUUAGUGCUGCAGCUAACGCAUUAAGCACUCCGCCUGGGGAGUACGACCGCAAGGUUGAA
Molecule: ribosomal RNA, 377 nt
Filed under: uncultured bacterium
Lineage: Bacteria
Description: bacterial SSU rRNA
Rfam family: Bacterial small subunit ribosomal RNA
Source: RNAcentral